Rhipicephalus microplus (southern cattle tick) is the source of this 160-nucleotide long non-coding RNA. The record is from RefSeq and is a predicted model, not a curated record. NCBI's taxonomy places the organism in Eukaryota, Metazoa, Arthropoda, Arachnida, Ixodida, Ixodidae.
UAGGAGGCCUUCAGCCCCGUCAAUUGAAGGAGUCCUCUACACAGACAUUGUCUGCUGGACUGUCUCCAACGUUUACUCUCUUGCCAGGCAUGGACACAAAGAUGCGCUUGCGAGAACGAGGCCUUCAGCGCCAUGAAGUGAAGGACUCCUCUGCAUGGAC